Equus caballus (horse) is the source of this 1745-nucleotide long non-coding RNA. The record is from Ensembl. Lineage: Eukaryota; Metazoa; Chordata; Mammalia; Perissodactyla; Equidae.
CUUGAAGACAGAGUUCCUAGGUUUAGUCAACUUCUGCCUUCCUAUUGGCUUAUUCAUAGCCCAAUACUCAAUAGAACCCGAAUACGUAUUUAUGAAAUGAAUGUUUGGAUGACCAUGGCUCCAUCGCUCUGGUGCCAUGAUCACUCCCCAAGCCCUGAUGUAAUGUGUCACUGUGAAUCUAGAUAAGGUAUGUGAAAGUGACUUUCAACCCCAGAAUUGUCACAUGCUGGUGAGUUGUACUCAUUUGUCAGCUGUGCCAAAGUUUGUUACUAGUAAUGUACCAAGAGUUUGCAGAUGACUUACUAAAAACUAGUGGAUUUACAGUUAUCCUCUCAUAACUUCCAUCAUCGAGUGCAUCCCAUUUCACUCUCUUGAGUUAUGGCUGCCACCUCUGGAAUGUGAAUAACUUCAAAUCACCCAAGGAAGUGUGUCUCCUAAGCUAGGAGGAACUUGAAGGGACAGAAGUGCCCCACAUCCUCUUCGUUACAUAGAGGAGAAAAGCCUGUGAAGAGAAGCUGGGCUGGCUUGGGCUGCAGGAACCCGUCCUGAGCUGGACUCUGUUGCUGUCCCACACAUGGCUAUUUUGAUUUGGCCUGACUCCACAGCACAGUGGAGCCUGGCGAUUCCCAGUGGUGGCGAGUGGCCGGAGGCCAGCAGCCUGGCAUGGAGCCUGUCUGGUCAGGGACACUGGACUGUUUCCCUGUCUUUACCCCUGGCUUUCAGCAAGUCUCCUUCAGAGCUCCAGCUUAGUCUGGGUCAUAUUAUGAGGAAUUGGGAAGGCUCUUUCUCCAUCUCAGAAGGAGCAGCCAACGAGAGAGCCAUGUCCCCUUCUUGGGUCCAGUGUAGGAAGUUCAUUGGCAGUUGCCAGCAGAAGACGGCUGUGUCUGAAGGCUCUGCCGCCUCAUAUUGAUCUUUGGAACAGAGCAGUAGAGACAUGGCUUCUGUGGAGGAGCACAGAACAGAAGGACACAAGGGCCUGUUUUGUUUCUUUCAAUCUUUAACACGGUGGGGCAUUUUCUUGUCUGCCUGUGUGUUUCCUUUCCAUUGGCCAUCCCCAACCCCGACUAGUAUGUAAGUCAAUGAGAGGAGGGACUUCUUCAUCCUUACUCACUGUUGAAUCCUCAGUGCCUAGAAUAGUGUGUGCAUAAUAAAUAUUUGUUGAAUGCAUGAGUAGCAAAGAAAGAAGGGAGGGAGGAAGGAUUGAUCAAUUCCUGUUCAAAUACCAAAUGAGAAAAUCUCAGAAAUAGAUGUUGAUGCCUCACACCAUAAUUUGAACAUAAAACUGAAAGGUGUUGUCUCAAAGAGAUACAGCCAUGUUGACAGCAGCAGUCUUCACACAGCUAAAAGGUGGAAGCCACUCAAGUGUCCAUCGAUGGAUGAAUGGAUGAACACCAUGCAGUAUACACAUACAACGCAAUAUUAUUUAGCCUUAAAAAGAAAGGCAAUUCUGACACAUGCUACAAUGUGGGUGAGCCUUGAGGACACUAUGCGAAGUGAAAUAAGUCAGUCAUAAACAGACAGAUACUGUACGAUCCCACUUAUAUGAGGUACUGAGAGUCAUCAAAUUCAUACAGAAAGCAAAAUGGUAGCUACCUAGGGCUGGGGGAAGAGGGGAAUAGGGAGUCAUUGUUUAACGGGUACAAAGUUUCCCUUUGGGUAGACAAAGAGUUCUGGAAAUGGAUGGUGAUGGUGAUUGCACAACAAUGUGAAUGUCUUUAAUACCAUUGAACUGUACACUGAAAAAU